GACGAACGCUGGCGGCGUGCUUAACACAUGCAAGUCGAACGAUGAAGCUGGAGCUUGCUCCGGUGGAUUAGUGGCGAACGGGUGAGUAACACGUGAGCAAUCUGCCCUUGACUCUGGGAUAACUGCGGGAAACUGUAGCUAAUACCGGAUACUUUCACUGGAAGGCAUCUUCUGGUGAGGAAAGAAUUUCGGUCAAGGAUGAGCUCGCGGCCUAUCAGCUUGUUGGUGAGGUAACGGCUCACCAAGGCGACGACGGGUAGCCGGCCUGAGAGGGUGACCGGCCACACUGGGACUGAGACGCGGCCCAGACUCCUACGGGAGGAAGCAGUGGGGAAUAUUGCACAAUGGGCGCAAGCCUGAUGCAGCAGCGCCGCGUGAGGGAUGAAGGCCUUCGGGUUGUAAACCUCUUUUAGCAGGGAAGAAGCGAAAGUGACGGUACCUGCAGAAAAAGCACCGGCUAACUACGUGCCAGCCGCCGCCGUAA
This 484-nucleotide ribosomal RNA is filed under the name uncultured bacterium. RNAcentral describes it as "partial 16S ribosomal RNA". It matches the Rfam family "Bacterial small subunit ribosomal RNA", at positions 28 to 523 of the family's 1533-position model. The record is from RNAcentral.